CUGGAUUAUCUUGGCUGUCCCCUGAAGCUAAGCAGGCUCAGGCCUGAUUAAUAACUGUAUGGGCGCCCACCAGGGAGUCUUAGGCUACAAGCCAGU
RNAcentral lists this ribosomal RNA (96 nucleotides) under Notechis scutatus (mainland tiger snake). The record is from RNAcentral. Lineage: Eukaryota; Metazoa; Chordata; Lepidosauria; Squamata; Elapidae.